UGGGGAAUAUUGCGCAAUGGGGGAAACCCUGACGCAGCGACGCCGUGUGAGGGAAGAAGGCUUUCGGGUCGUAAACCUCUGUCAGGAAGGAAGAACCUCUCAAGGCUGAACAAGCCUUGGGACUGACGGUACUUCCAGAGGAAGCACCGGCUAACUCCGUGCCAGCAGCCGCGGUAAUACGGAGGGUGCAAGCGUUAAUCGGAAUCACUGGGCGUAAAGCGCGCGUAGGCCGUCUUUUAAGUCGGACGUGAAAGCCCUCGGCUCAACCGGGGAACUGCGUUCGAUACUGGGAGACUGGAGUCCUGGAGAGNGUGGCGGAAUUCCGGGUGUAGGAGUGAAAUCCGUAGAUAUCCGGAGGAACACCGGUGGCGAAGGCGGCCACCUGGACAGGUACUGACGCUGAGG
RNAcentral lists this ribosomal RNA (405 nucleotides) under uncultured bacterium. RNAcentral describes it as "bacterial SSU rRNA". It matches the Rfam family "Bacterial small subunit ribosomal RNA", at positions 355 to 751 of the family's 1533-position model. The record is from RNAcentral.